RNAcentral lists this long non-coding RNA (1073 nucleotides) under Oryctolagus cuniculus (rabbit). Its description in RNAcentral is "lncRNA (ENSOCUG00000033756.1)". Lineage: Eukaryota; Metazoa; Chordata; Mammalia; Lagomorpha; Leporidae. The record is from RNAcentral.
AUGGUAGUGUUUGCAUUCAAAUGUUGUAUCAUACAUAAAAUUAAAAGUAUCACUUCCAUAAGAAAAAAAUGCUACGUUAUGAAAAACACAAAAGAAAUCAGUAACUUUCAUUUUCAGUAUAAAACACUCACACUUAUUUAUCCACCUGAUAGCAUUGAUCAGACCAGGGAGCUAGAACAAGACCGUUUUCCAUCCGCGGAACUCCCUGAAGGUUCCUAUGGACUGUAAGGCAGGGACUGGUGCAAGCCGAUUACCUGGAGUGCGGUCACAAGCGAAACCUCCCCUGACUUUCUGCAGCACACUGUGUUGUGACAAAAGGAGAGGGUGACACCCAUUUUCUAUCAUAGGCCAGCCUGUGGCAGCUUAAAAAAAACAACAGCAACAAAAAACAAAAACGCAAGAGCUAUUUAGAAAACUCAAGUUAAAAUUAAUUCUUAAACUGCUGACUUUGCACACACCCCGCAGUGACUGUCUGCCCCAAGAAGCACAUGCGUGGAGCCCAGCAUCUCCCACGAGGACGUGGCCUGGGCCAAGCACGUGGGUCCUGGGCAGCUGCCAUCUCCCCCAGCCGUGUCAGCUCCACCUGACUCAGGUGCCCCCAUGCUUAUCACAUCCUUCUUAAGUUAAAGAUGCUUCCAGAGCAAGCCUAAUUGCCAUUUGCUUAGUGUUUAGUUUGGAAAUGCUUCUAAUUUUUAAGUCUUAAACAAUGAUUAUUUGACUUCUACUGAACACACAGUAUCUGCUAACACUGCUCACCUCCUGCUUCCCCCACCUGCCUCACAUUCGGCUUCCCUGUCAUCACUUCUCUCCUUCCUCCUUCAGUCAUUCUCUCUCUUGCACUUUCUGCUACUUAAUCUGCCUCCCAAGAACAAGUGACUUUGCUAACACACAACUGGUCAGACUCCCCACCCUCGGAUCAAUGAUUGCCUGGGCUCAUCUGCCCCAUCUACUGCAGUUUUUUAAUGUGAUGUAUCACAUUGAUUGAUUUGUGAACAUUGAACCGUCACUGCAUACCAGGGAUAAAUCCCACUUGGUCUGGGUGGAUGAUCUUUCUGAUGUGUUGUUGCAUUCUA